ACUGUUUUUCUAGAUUCCAUAUAUAUGCCUUAGUACACAGUGUUUUUAUCUUUCUAUUUCACUCUGUAUGAUAGGCUCUAGGUUCAUCUGCCUCAUUAGAACUGACUCAAAUGCAUUCCUUUUUAUGGCUGAGUAAUAUUCCAUUGUGUAUAUGUACAGCUUCUUUAUCCAUUCAUCUGUCGAUGGACAUCUAGGUGGCUUCCAUGUUCUAGCUAUUGUAAAUAGUGCUGCACUGAACGAUGGGAUACAUGUGUCUUUUUCUACUUUGGUAAAGCCUCCAUCAGCCUUCUCCUGGCCUUGGCCAAAGGGUGGGAGCCAGUGGCUUUGGUGACUCUAGAUAACCUCGGGCUGAUUGCACACCCCCCAUGGCGGUGAGGACCUAUUCAAAUGUCUGCCUUAUCAACUUGCGAUGGUAAUCACUGUACCUAUCUUGGUGACCAUGGGUGAUGGGGAAUCAGGGUUCGAUUCCAGAGAUGGAGCCUGAGAAAUGGCUAGCACAUCCAAGGAAGGCAGCAGGUGUGCAAAUUACCCACUCCUGACAGGGGGAGGUAGUGACGAAAAAUAACAAUACAGGAUUCUUUCGAGACCCUGUCAUUGGAACUAGUCCACUUUAAAUUCUUUCACAAGGAUCCAUUGGAGAGU
RNAcentral lists this non-coding RNA (642 nucleotides) under Ovis aries (sheep). Its description in RNAcentral is "Eukaryotic small subunit ribosomal RNA". It matches the Rfam family "Eukaryotic small subunit ribosomal RNA", at positions 31 to 556 of the family's 1831-position model. Lineage: Eukaryota; Metazoa; Chordata; Mammalia; Artiodactyla; Bovidae. The record is from Rfam by way of RNAcentral.